This 635-nucleotide ribosomal RNA is filed under the name Azorhizobium sp. STM 3360. RNAcentral describes it as "partial 16S-23S ribosomal RNA intergenic spacer". The stretch from base 92 to 164 matches the Rfam family "tRNA". Lineage: Bacteria; Pseudomonadati; Pseudomonadota; Alphaproteobacteria; Hyphomicrobiales; Xanthobacteraceae. The record is from RNAcentral.
GAGGUCGGACGUUCGAGUCGUCCCAGGCCCACCACUGAUCCAGAAGGUUGGGCGUCGAUCUGAAGCUCUUGUUGUGCUGAGCGUGCUCUUAGGGGCCAUAGCUCAGUUGGGAGAGCGCGUGCUUUGCAAGCAUGAGGUCGUCGGUUCGAUCCCGUCUGGCUCCACCAUUUCCUGCAUUCCGAUGAGGGAUGCGGUCGAGAUGGUCGGUGGUGAAGCGCUUCAAGCGUGAGAGAAGAACAUCCGGUUCUUUUCUCUUCUGUCCGCACAAUCUGUUUCGCUGAUCCUCAGCAAGCCCCCAUGUGGGCGAGGAUGAGCGCUGCUGUCUGACAUUGUGAAUCUGGGCGUUUUCGAUUUGCUGGCCGCAAGGCUGGCGGGUCGUGACAAUCAAGCUUUCGGGCUUGAGAGGACACGAUCAUCGGGUGCUGACCGCACCGGUGUCGAAAAUGUCGAAGCUGGUCUUUAGCGUCCAGCCCUCUCGCUGAUCCGCCUGGUGCGGAUUGAUGAGAACCUCAGCCGAGGAGUGGGCAUGGACGAUGAGAACGAUCAAGUGUCUUAAGGGCAUUCGGUGGAUGCCUUGGCGCUAAGAGGCGAAGAAGGACGUGGUACGCUGCGAUAUGCUUCGGGGAGCUGCGAAC